This 396-nucleotide ribosomal RNA is filed under the name uncultured bacterium. RNAcentral describes it as "partial 16S ribosomal RNA". It matches the Rfam family "Bacterial small subunit ribosomal RNA", at positions 523 to 918 of the family's 1533-position model. The record is from RNAcentral.
AUACGUAGGGAGCGAGCGUUGUCCGGAAUUACUGGGUGUAAAGGGAGCGUAGGCGGGAGUGCAAGUCAGAUGUGAAAUACAUGGGCUCAACCCAUGGGCCGCAUUUGAAACUGCAUUUCUUGAGUGAAGUAGAGGUAAGCGGAAUUCCUGGUGUAGCGUUGAAAUGCGUAGAUAUCAGGAGGAACACCGGUGGCGAAGGCGGCUUACUGGGCUUUUACUGACGCUGAGGCUCGAAAGCGUGGGGAGCAAACAGGAUUAGAUACCCUGGUAGUCCACGCUGUAAACGAUGAUUACUAGGUGUGGGGGGACUGACCCCUUCCGUGCCGCAGUUAACACAAUAAGUAAUCCACCUGGGGAGUACGGCCGCAAGGUUGAAACUCAAAUGAAUUGACGGGG